CCUGAUGGCUCAGAUGGUAAAGAAUCUGCCUCUGAUGUAGGAGAUCUGGGUUCAAUCCCCAGGUCAGGA
This 69-nucleotide transfer RNA is filed under the name Capra hircus (goat). It matches the Rfam family "tRNA". From Rfam's summary of the family: Transfer RNA (tRNA) molecules are approximately 80 nucleotides in length. The record is from Rfam by way of RNAcentral. RNAcentral also lists the same sequence under 1 other name. Lineage: Eukaryota; Metazoa; Chordata; Mammalia; Artiodactyla; Bovidae.